ACCUCGAUGUUGAAUUAAGAAAAGAUCUAAUAGAAAAAAAUUAGAUUAUAGGUCUGUUCGACCUUUGAAUUCUUACAUGAUUUGAGUUAAGACCGGUGUAAGCCAGGUUGGUUUCUAUCUUCAUAAUAGAAGUUUUUAUAGUACGAAAGGACCUAAAAACUUAAUUUUAUUAAUUAAUUAGCUUAUAUAAAGCAAGUAUUUUGAAAAUACUAGAAAGAUUUAAAAAUUUAUUAAUUUUAUGU
RNAcentral lists this unclassified non-coding RNA (242 nucleotides) under Frankliniella occidentalis (western flower thrips). RNAcentral's name for it is "partial contains large subunit ribosomal RNA (rrnL); may also contain tRNA-Leu (trnL)". The stretch from base 1 to 122 matches the Rfam family "Bacterial large subunit ribosomal RNA", at positions 2523 to 2645 of the family's 2925-position model. The record is from RNAcentral. Lineage: Eukaryota; Metazoa; Arthropoda; Insecta; Thysanoptera; Thripidae.